UCUGCGUCAUCGGCCGCGCGCCGCUGGGGGCCGCUUGGGCUCGUGCCGGAGUUGGGGGACCAGGCCGCGGGCGGCGCGAUGGGAGACGAGAUGGAUGCGGUGAUCCCCGAGCGGGAGAUGAAGGAUUUCCAAUUCCGAGCACUGAAGAAGGUGAGAGUGUUCGACUCGCCGGAGGAGCUGCCCAAGGAGCGCUCCAGCCUGCUCGCUGUGUCCAACAAGUACGGGCUGCUCUUUGCUGGGGGUGCCACUGGCCUGCAGGUGUUCCCUACCAAACACCUGCUCAUUCAGAACAAGCCAGGAGAUGAUCCCAAUAAAGUAGUUGAUAAGGUGCAGAGCUUGCCAGUCCCUAUGAAGUUCCCAGUACAUCACUUGGCGCUGAGCUGUGAUGACCUCACUCUCUCCGUGUGCAUGAUGUCCAGCGAGCAUGGUUCCAUCAUUGCCUUCUUUGAUGUUCGCACGUUCUCAAACGAGGCAAAGCAGCAGAAGCGCCCGUUCGCCUACCACAAGCUCCUGAAAGAUGCAGGCGGGAUGGUGAUGGAUAUGAAGUGGAACCCCACAGUGCCCUCCAUGGUGGCCGUCUGUCUGGCCGAUGGCAGCAUCGCUGUCCUCCAAGUCACAGAGGCUGUCAAAGUGUGUGCCGCACUCCCUCCCACGGCCGGUGUGACGUCCGUGUGCUGGAGCCCCAAAGGAAAACAGCUGGCAGUGGGCAAACAGAACGGAACUGUGGUGCAGUAUCUUCCUACUUUGCAGGAAAAAAAAGUCAUUCCAUGUCCUCCGUUUUAUGAGGCAGAUCAUCCUGUCCGAGUUCUGGAUGUGCUGUGGAUUGGCACCUACGUCUUCACCAUCGUGUACGCUGCUGCCGACGGUACCUUGGAAACCUCUCCAGAUGUGGUCGUAGCUCUGCUGCCGAAAAAAGAAGACAAGCACCCCGAGAUGUUUGUGAACUUCAUGGAGCCCUGCUACGGCAGCUGCACAGAGAGGCAGCAUCAUUACUUCCUCAGCUACGUGGAGGAGUGGGACUUGGUGUUGGCAGCAUCUGCAGCCUCAACGGAAGUUAGCAUCCUGGCUCGGCAGAGUGAUCAGGUUAAUUGGGAAUUGUGGGUACUGGAAGACUCCAGUCGAGCUGAACUGCCCGUAACAGACAAGAGUGAUGACUCUCUGCCCAUGGGGGUCGCCAUAGACUAUACAAACCAAGUGGAGAUUACCAUCAGUGAUGAGAAGACUCUUCCUCCUGCUCCCGUUCUCAUGUUGCUGUCAACAGAUGGUGUGCUCUGUCCGUUUUACAUGAUCAAUCAAAAGCCCGGGGUCAAGUCUCUCAUCAAGGUGCCAGAGAGGCUGCCGUUGGAAGAAGAGCGGCAGCCCAGGUCAUCGGGAAGCACUCCUACUACUCCCACCUCCUCUCAGAUCCCACCAAAAGUUGAAGCCUCAGCACUGGCAUCUCCUGCUUCUGCUCCGUCUGCGGCACCUGCUACUCCCACCGCCACCUUCCAUGUGCCUCCUGCUGGGGGAGCCGCUGCUGUGUUCUCCUUUGGCUCUGCCUCCUUAAAAUUAUCUGCCCCUGGGGCCGGGGAGGCUCCUGACAAUCCCGCUCUGGGCUCCAGUGUUCCUGCCUUCUCUUUCGCCCCUCCCAAAGCCUCGCUCGCACCCACCCCUGCAGCAUCACCCAUGGCUGCACCUGCUGUUUCGUUUUCCUUUGGAUCCUCGGGUUUUAAGCCUACCCUGGAAAGUACACCGAUGCCGAGUGUGUCUGCUCCAAAUGCAGGAAUCAAGUCCUCCUUCCCGCCCUCCACGUCAGGGGCCAAAGCCAACCUUAGUGAAAAAUUUGCUGCCAUGGCUGCCUCGGCUCCUGUGAGUAGCUCCCUGAGCUCCCCCUCCGUGCUGCCGUCCUCGUCCAGCUCUAAGCCAGCUGCUCCGGGGCCCCUCGGCCUCCCUGCACCUCUCUCAGCAUCCACCGCUGGCCUGGCCUUGAAGCCCGCCAGUUCUGCCUCCCCCUCAGGGCGGUCCACUCAGGGAAGUCCCGCUCCGGUGCCCACCCUGGUGCAGAAGACACCCAGGAUAACUCCUCCUGUGGCCAAGUCAGGCUCCACCCAGGUGAAGUCACUUCAGCCUCCUCCUGCAGAAAAGCAGGGUCAUUCCUGGAAAGACUCAGAUCCUGUGAUGGCUGGGAUCGGAGAGGAGAUCUCACAUUUUCAGAAGGAGCUGGAAGAAUUGAAAGCCCGAACUUCCACGUGCUGUUUCCAGGUGGGCACGGCAGAGGAGCUGAAGAUGCUGAGAACGGAAUCGGAUGACUUGCACACCUUUCUCCUGGAGAUUAAGGAGACUACAGAGUCUGUUCAUGGAGACAUAAGCACCCUGAAAACGACUCUGCUUGAGGGUUUUGCCGGUGUUGAAGAAGCCAGAGGACAAAAUGAAAGGAACCGUGACUCUGGCUAUUGCCAUCUGCUCCAUAAAAGACCCCUGGAUCCCAAGAGUGAAGCCCAGCUCCAGGAAAUCCGACGCCUUCAUCAGUACGUGAAAUUUGCUGUGCAAGAUGUGAAUGACGUGCUGGACCUCGAGUGGGAUCGGCAUUUGGAACAAAAGAAGAAACAGAAGCGCCUGCUUGUGCCCGAACGAGAGACACUGUUUAACACCCUUGCCAACAACCGUGAGAUCAUCAACCAGCAGAGGAAGAGGCUGAAUCAGCUGGUAGACAGUCUGCAGCAUCUCCGUCUUUACAACCAGAGGUCCCAGUGGAGCCUGCCCUGCGUGGCUCCUUCCCCGGACAGCCCUCAGAGUUUUGACAGUGACUUGGAGAGUCUGCGCAAUGCUUUGCUGAAGACAGCCAUAGAAUCCCGCACCAAACCCUUGCCCAGGGUGCCAGCUAAACUGUCUCCCGUGAAACUGGCACAACUAAGAAACUUUUUAUCCAAGAGGAAGACCCCACCUGUUAGAUCCACUGCUCCAGCCAACCUGUCUCGUUCAGCCUUCCUAUCUCAAAGAUACUAUGAAGACUUGGAUGAAGCUAGCUCGACUUCGUCUGUCUCGCAGUCUCUGGAGAGUGAAGAUGCCCGGGCCCCUUGUAAAGAAGAGGAGGCAGUGGUCCAGGCCCCGCGGCAUGCCCCUGUGGUCCGCACUGCUUCUGUCCAGCCCAGUCUCUUGCCCCAGGCCAUACCUUUUGGUAAACCUCCUCCUAGCCCCAGUUCUUCACCUGGCAUAUUAUCCCCUGCACUGUUGACAUCUGCUGGCAAAAUAAUUCCUCAAGGGGCUGACAGCACAGUGCUUGCCACAAAAACUGUGAAACAUGGCGCCCCGAGUCCUUCGCACCCCAUCUCGGCAUCGCAGGCGGCGGCUGCUGCAGCCAUGAGACGGCAGAUGGCCAGCCAGGUGCCAGCUGUUAGUACUUUGACUGAAUCAACCUUGAAGAACGUCCCUCAGGUGGUGAAUGUGCAGGAGUUGAAGAAUAACCCUCCAGCCUCCUCCCCGGCCAGUGGCUCUUCAGUGCCGUACUCUGCAGGCAGAGCACCUCACCCCGGCUUAACCCCAGUGGCUGCCAACCAGGCCAAGCAGGGGUCUCUGAUAGGUUCCUUCAAGCCACCCGGGCCCACACCAGCAGGGUCCAGUCAGGUGUCCUCCGCGGGCAAUGCUGCAGGGCCGGGGACAGCCAAGACAGAAACCGCUGUGACUUCCAGCCCAUCUGCUGGUGGACAGUUCAGCAAGUCUUUCUCGUUUGCUCCGGCAGGGACUGGCUUUAAUUUUGGGAUAAUUACACCAACCCCGUCGUCUAGCUUCACCGCUGCACAAGGAGCAACACCCGCCACCAAAGAGACAGGCCAGCCGGACACAUUUUCCUUUAGCGGUGGAGGCAAACCUUUUUAUGAAGCCAUUCCUGAAAGUUCUUCCUCAGCGUCCAGCGCCCCUGGGGCUGCCAGUUCUUCUCCGGGAGAGUCUGCUCCUUCUGGCAACAGCAGGCCUGGGGCAGCUUCUGGAACUGUUCUUGCUGCCACCUCCAGCAAGCUGGAAGCUGCACCGGCCAAGCUGGGAGAGCUUCUGUGUCCGAGGCCUUCGGCUGGGGAGACUCUGGGGAGCUUCUCCGGGCUGCGGGUGGGCCCGGCGGACGACGCGGCAGAACCAGCCAGUAAGGCUUCCAGCGUGCCCUCGGGCUUCACUCUGAGCGGCCCUGCAGCCCCCGGGAAGCACGUGGGGCCCCCGGUGAGUGCCCCUGCAACUGCUCCCACGGCAGCACCGCCACCAGCAGCGAGCACAAGCUCUGGCAGUUCCUCGGGUGCUGUGUCUGGCAGCCUGCCCCUGCCCAGCCCAGGAACCUCGGGGGCCAUCGGUUUCGGUGGGAUUUCUUUCGGUGGUAGCAAGGCCAGCUUUUCCUUUGGAAGCUCACAGACUAGUAGUACAGUGCCCCUGUCUGCCCCCGCGUACACCACAGCCACCUCAUCCCUCCCAGCGGCAUUCCCAACACUGUCGUUUGGGAGUCUCCUAAGUUCAGCUGGCUCCUCCCUGCCCGCAUCUUCCACCAGAGGUGCGGAGGAGGCCACGACGGCCGCCGCUCCACCCGAGAGAACAAGCUGUAAUGAGGGCUCAGCAUCCACAGCCCCACCUCCAGGGCAGCAGCCGCCAGCCCAUCUUCCGCAGGCUCCUCAGCCAACGCCGGACUCUGGGAACAAAGAACCUGCUCUUGUCCAGCCGGCAGUCAGCAGCCCCAGCUCCAGUGCCAGCCACAUGGCCCCUGCUGCAGAGGCUGUUGCAGCAACCACUGGGGGCCCUGAAGUCAAGACAGAGGUGGCACCCCCCACUUUUUCCUUCUCAGUCCCUGAGCAGACUUCCACCGCAGGCAGCACGGUCCCAGGUGCCCCAACCUCCUCCAGCACUGUCCCCGGCAGUACUCCAGGCCCAGCUACAGAGACAGCCGUGUUUGCAACAGUCUCUUCUGGCUCAUCAGUCUUUACUCAGCCACCUGCUGCCAGUUCUAGCUCAGCGUUCAGCCAGCUCGCCAGCAGCACAGCCACUACGCCCUCGGCAGCACCCGUGUUUGGACAGGUGGCGGCCAGUACGGCCCCGGGCCUGUUUGGGCAGCAGGCAAGCAGUGUGACCAGUACGGCGACCACUACGCCCCAGGUCAGCAGCUCGGCCUUUGGCAGCCCAGCGUUCGGCGCCUCAGCCCCAGCCGUCUUUGGACAGUCAACGUUUGGACAGGCCCCAGCCUUUGGCCAGGCCACAAGCAGCCCUACCAGCAGCUUCUCCUUCAGUCAGCCUGGCUUCAGCUCUGUGCCCGCCUUUGGCCAGGCCACGUCCUCGGCCCCCACCCCCACCAGCGCCAGUGUCUUCGGUGCCUCCUCCAAUACCGGUAGCUCCAGUUCCUUUUCGUUUGGACAGUCUUCUGCCAAUGCAGGCCGUGGACUGUUUGGACAGAGCCCCACUCCCACUUUUGGGCAAAGCCCUGGCUUUGGGCAGGGUGGAUCUGUGUUUGGUAGCACCUCGGCCGCAAGCACCGCAGCCACACCCUCGGGGUUUAGCUUCUGUCAAGCUUCAGGUUUUGGGACUAGCAGUACUGGUUCUGUGUUUGGUCAGGCACCCAGCACUGGCGGAACAGUGUUUGGCCAGCAGUCGUCGUCUUCCGGCGGCAGCCUGUUUGGCUCUGGAAGUGCUACUAGAGGGGGCGGUUUCUUCAGUGGCCUUGGAGGCAAACCCAGCCAGGACGCAGCCAACAAAAACCCAUUCAGCUCUGCCAGCGGGGGCUUCGGAUCUACAGCCACCCCAAAUACCUCGAACCUGUUUGGCAACAGUGGAGCCAAGGCGUUUGGAGGCUUCGCGAGCUCGUCGUUUGGUGAGCAGAAGCCGGCUGGCACCUUCAGCUCGGGCGGAGGCAGCGUGGCAUCCCAAGGCUUCGGAUUUUCUACUCCGAACAAAACAGGUGGCUUCGGUGCUGCUCCAGUGUUUGGCAGCCCUCCUACUUUUGGGGGAUCCCCUGGGUUUGGAGGGGUGCCAGCAUUCGGUUCAGCCCCAGCCUUUACAAGCCCUCUGGGCUCGACGGGAGGCAAAGUGUUCGGAGAGGGCACUGCGGCCGCCAGCGCAGGAGGAUUCGGGUUCGGGAGCAGCAGCAACACGGCCUCCUUCGGGACCCUGGCGAGUCAGAACGCUCCCACCUUCGGGUCCCUGUCGCAGCAGACCCCUGGCUUUGGGACCCAGAGCGGCGGCUUCUCCAGCUUCGGCUCAGGCUCCGGAGGAUUCAGCUUUGGCUCAUCCAGCUCGUAAGUACCCUUGUCCCUUUUUGGUUCUGACACUUGGAAAUUGCAAGCGCUGAAUAAGAAUGGCAGGGUGCGUGCUAACUGAUGCAGGCAGCAGGUGCCGGGCCUCAUCCCAGGGCCCAGGGCUCAGAGCCAAGGACGGGGUGGGGGUGCUUCUCCUGGGCUCCUGUCAGUAUCUGUAGCUUCCUGCUGGCCACAGGCUA
Ochotona princeps (American pika) is the source of this 6439-nucleotide RNA transcript. It is a transcript of the gene named nucleoporin 214, with no coding region annotated. NCBI's taxonomy places the organism in Eukaryota, Metazoa, Chordata, Mammalia, Lagomorpha, Ochotonidae. The record is from RefSeq and is a predicted model, not a curated record. The transcript has 36 exons.